Gossypium arboreum is the source of this 133-nucleotide non-coding RNA. NCBI's taxonomy places the organism in Eukaryota, Viridiplantae, Streptophyta, Magnoliopsida, Malvales, Malvaceae. The record is from Rfam.
UAUUAAAAAUUUCAUCCAUUUUUACAGUUAAAAACUAGUGUGAGUGACGAAAUAACUAGACAACUACACGUGUACCUCAUGUUAACAUAUAAGGAUCAGUUUUAAAUAGUAAAAAUGGAUGAAAUUUUUAACA